UUUCUUUGCCCCUUCCGCCUUCCGGAUGGAUGAAAGCAGAAGCAGUGGCUGGAGCUAGAGCAGCUAUUUAGGACUAUGAGAUGGAAGAAAUGUGGUGACAAUAGCAGAACAAAAAUAUAGAAAUCUUGGGUACUUGAUGACCACGGAGCCGCCAUACAAACUCUGGACUAUAAUUUCCAGAGACUGUUUAUAGAAUGAAGAUACUGUCAUUACCUCUGCAAAGAAUGCAUCCUAGCACAGAUCAAAGAUCUUCCAAGUCCAGCCACACCAUUUUACAGUUCUGAACCUCGACUUAGGAAAGCAGUGGAUCUUUAUACAUUUGACACAUCCCUUCCCUCUAGGGUAAGAAAAAAUAAGCCUAGUUUUGCAUAAGUCCUUUUCUG
RNAcentral lists this long non-coding RNA (383 nucleotides) under Homo sapiens (human). RNAcentral's name for it is "non-protein coding LINC00690:3". The record is from RNAcentral. Lineage: Eukaryota; Metazoa; Chordata; Mammalia; Primates; Hominidae.